RNAcentral lists this small RNA (932 nucleotides) under Pongo abelii (Sumatran orangutan). RNAcentral's name for it is "retained intron". The record is from RNAcentral. Lineage: Eukaryota; Metazoa; Chordata; Mammalia; Primates; Hominidae.
CUAGAAUACUUGCAAUUCAUGCAGAAUGCUGAGGAAGAGGAAGCUUGGAUCAAUGAAAAGAAUGCUAUGGCUGUCCGAGGAGAUUCUGGAGAUACAUUAGCUGCUACUCAGAGCUUGCUAACGAAGCAUGAAGCUUUGGAAAACGACUUUGCUGUCCAUGAGACCCGAGUACAAAAUGUGUGUGCACAAGGAGAAGACAUCCUAAAUAAGGUGUUGCAGGAGGAAAGUCAGAACAAAGAGAUUUCUUCUAAGAUAGAGGCUCUGAAUGAAAAGACACCUUCUCUGGCCAAGGCAAUAGCUGCUUGGAAGUUGCAAUUGGAAGAUGAUUAUGCCUUUCAGGAAUUCAACUGGAAGGCUGAUGUGGUAGAUGCUUGGAUAGCUGAUAAGGAAACAAGCCUAAAGACCAAUGGCAAUGGUGCACACCUUGGUGACUUCCUCACUCUCCUGGCAAAACAGGACACUCUGGAUGCCAGUCUGCAGAGUUUCCAGCAAGAGAGACUUCCUGAGAUCACUGACCUGAAGGACCAACUGAUUGCUGCUCAACACAGCCAGUCUAAAGCCAUUGAAGAACGUUAUGCCGCCCUGCUGAAGCGCUGGGAACAGUUGCUGGAAGCCUCGGCAGUCCACAGACAGAAAUUGCUGGAGAAACAGCUGCCUCUACAGAAGGUUUAAAAAAAUUACGAGGCGUGAUCAGUUCUCUGUUACCUGUAUAUUAGCCAUCAAAUUCGGAAACAGAUAUUGGAAACUCAGUUUGGAUAAUACAAAAACCUUUUAUUGCAUUGAAAGAUGUUGGGAAGACAUUCUUACUGAGCAAAAAGUAGAUUGAAAAGAAGCUUUAAAAAAUUUUUUUAGAUUGAUUGAUUAGUUGCAUAACUAACUUGAGAUGGAAGCCAGGCAAAUAUAGUGGAAGAGGUGGAUGGAACAAGAGGAUG